AUUCCAGCUCCAAUAGCGUAUAUUAAAGUUGUUGCAGUUAAAAAGCUCGUAGUUGGAUUUGUGGCGUACGGUGGGUUCCGGGCACUUGUUGUCUGAGUAACUUGCUGUUGCCAUCCUUGGGUGGAACCUGUGUGGCAUUAGGUUGUCGUGCAGGGGAUGCCCAUCAUUUACUGUGAAAAAAUUAGAGUGUUCAAAGCAGGCUUAUGCCGUUGAAUAUAUUAGCAUGGAAUAAUAAGAUAGGACUUUUUUGCUAUUUUGUUGGUUUGCGCAAAGAGGUAAUGAUUAAUAGGGACAGUUGGGGGUAUUCGUAUUCCAUUGUCAGAGGUGAAAUUCUUGGAUUUUUGGAAGACGAACUACUGCGAAAGCAUUUACCAAGGAUGUUUUCAUUA
Molecule: ribosomal RNA, 389 nt
Filed under: Navicula sp.
Lineage: Eukaryota; Bacillariophyta; Bacillariophyceae; Naviculales; Naviculaceae
Description: partial small subunit ribosomal RNA
Rfam family: Eukaryotic small subunit ribosomal RNA
Source: RNAcentral